RNAcentral lists this ribosomal RNA (253 nucleotides) under uncultured bacterium. RNAcentral's name for it is "partial 16S ribosomal RNA". It matches the Rfam family "Bacterial small subunit ribosomal RNA", at positions 524 to 776 of the family's 1533-position model. The record is from RNAcentral.
UACGUAGGGUGCGAGCGUUAAUCGGAAUUACUGGGCGUAAAGCGUGCGCAGGCGGUUCGUUAUGUCUGAUGUGAAAGCCCCGGGCUCAACCUGGGAAUUGCAUUGGAAACUAGCGGGCUGGAGUGUGGCAGAGGGGGGUGGAAUUCCACGUGUAGCAGUGAAAUGCGUAGAGAUGUGGAGGAACACCGAUGGCGAAGGCAGCCCCCUGGGCUAACACUGACGCUCAUGCACGAAAGCGUGGGGAGCAAACAGG